GCCAGGUGUGGUGACGCACACCUGUAGUCCCAGCUACUCGGGAGGCUGAGGCAGAAGAAUUGCUUGAACCUGGGAGGUGGAGUGUGCAGUGAGCCGAGAUCACCCCAGUGCACUCCAGCCUGGGUGACAGAGCGAGACUCUGUCUCAA
RNAcentral lists this signal recognition particle RNA (148 nucleotides) under Nomascus leucogenys (northern white-cheeked gibbon). RNAcentral describes it as "Metazoan signal recognition particle RNA". It matches the Rfam family "Metazoan signal recognition particle RNA". From Rfam's summary of the family: The signal recognition particle (SRP) is a universally conserved ribonucleoprotein. It is involved in the co-translational targeting of proteins to membranes. The record is from Rfam by way of RNAcentral. Lineage: Eukaryota; Metazoa; Chordata; Mammalia; Primates; Hylobatidae.